UUCUCUCAAGGGCACUUUCCCACCUGUCUCUUCUCCAUUCUCGCUUUAACUGCCUCUGAUCCUCAUUCUCACCCUCCUACACAAUGGCAAUGAUUCUCUGACUCAUCGCCCCCUUUCCCAGCUCUAAAAUGAGAAUGACAAUGCCUACUUCUUAACAUGUUGAGAACUAACUGAUAUAGCAGAAGGUAUUAGCACUGUGCUUAGCACAUUGUAAGAAUUCAACAAAAUGAAACUGUAUCUUUCAUUUUCCUGGAUCUAGCUUCAGCCAGCCAGGCUUUCUCUGCUCUCAUAAGCACAGCCUUCCCAAGCUUCUCAAUGGGCAUAACCCUUUCCUGCAUCAGUCCCUUAGCUGGCAUUCUUCCCUGCCCAUCCCAAGCCCUCCCACCAUCACUCUCAGCACUGCUUACAAUCCCAAGCCUCUUUCAAGAGGUCCUAUGAUCAGCUCCUUACUGAAUUCACAUGGCGCCUACUUAUGUAUCACUUUUGCGACACUUAGACAUGACUGGGGAUUCUAGUUUCUUGCGAACUUGCUUUUCCCCUGGUCCCCAAUCUGUGAGACACCUGGGGCUGGCUCGAGUCCUCCUCUGAAGACAGGGCUCCUUUACAGGUGGUCUUCUCUCAAUGGCUCCACCCCUGGGAGUUUCAGCAACCCCACCCCCCAUUUGCAGUCUCCUCUGCUGCCACCCCACCAUUCUUCAUACUUCCCGACACCUCACCCUCACCCUUGUAAAAGAUUCCGUUGUCAGUGAACCCUCCUAACGGUGUCAGGAUCCUGGCCGAAACCCACACCAACGGCGAAAUAAGGUAAAGUUCUUUACUCUUCAUGGGCCUUUACCCUUUGUGGAUUCAAGGUCACAAGAGGCACUCCCACUGCACCACCCAACUCCUGGGAAAAAUCCCACUCUGAUUGUCAGUGUGUCAUUAGACACACCAAACACUGUUUACUGGGGAACAGCCAGGGUGCCACUAGCCAUGAUCCAGGGCUGUGCAGGAGCUGGAAACAGCCAAGGAGAGGGAGCCCCACCCAACCCACCCAGAUGAUAGCAGUGUAUGGGAGAUCUCCACAGAGGGCUUUAUCCUCCCUAGGACCAAGAGGCAUCACUUUGGCAUCAUGAUUACAAAAACUGAAAUGGUUAUGCACGCCCUGCAGGGGUCUGGGAACCCUUCUAAGCCUCAGAACUGUCUCUUCAACCAACGUGACUCACUGGCUGACCAAUGACUACACAGAAGUAUAUCCAGACCAUAGACUCCUCCUCAAUCAGUCAGCCUAGAAUGAGGUUCACUCCUAUGCCCCAACGUGGAAGGCUGUCCAUGGUAUUUUUUUUAAUUAAAGUAUAAUUGAUUUACAAAUUUAUAUUAGUUUCAGGGGUACAGCAUAGUGUCAGUAUCUUUACUCCACUAAUGUCCUUGAUAUAAUUUUAAGGGGAGGGGGAAUAAAUUACAGAACAGUUUAUAUAGUGUCAUUCCAUUUUUGUAAAAUAUAAAAUUAUGUAUAUAUGUUUGUGGAUGCUCCUGAUAGUGUCUGCAAAGAAAAGCACACACUGUUAACCCCACCCCACCCCAGGAAAGAUGGGUGGGAAUUUUUACCCAUAAAGUGUUUUUUAAAAAAGGUUUGUUGAUUCUGCAGGGUUUUUUUUUUUUUCAAAAUUUUAAAUCCCGAACAUCCUUUAUUCAGCAGGAGUUAUCUCUGCAAAUCAACAAUAGGACCAAUAGGCAGCUUUUGCUUUUUUCCAGCAGCGUUCACCUCUUCCACAGCAAUGGAAAGUGUUUGCCAGGUUGCAGAAAUCUCAGCUCCCAGCACUGUGGGCCUAGUGUCGGCCUAGGGGGCGCUGCAGAGUCUGCGCACCCAGCAAAGCAAGCGGAACUUGCUGUUCCAGGUGAGAGGCUGGGAGAGGCAGAUGGGGUCUAACCACCCUCUAGACCUGCCAGUCGCUUCCUUCCCUCUUGGCCCCUCAGUCCCUACCAUUUCCAUCAGGAGGUGGAAGAAUGAGGAUUCCCGAAGUCCCCAUCACAUACAGAAGAUAAGUGGAUUUGGAGUUCCAUUGUGGCUCAGUGGGUUAAGGAUCUGGCUCAGUGGGUUAACCAGGCGCUCUGGUUACUGCAGUGACUGGGUUCGAUCCCUGGACCAGGAACUUCCGCGGCCAAAAUAAUAAUAAUAAUUAGAAAAGCAGGUUUGUGUUACUUUCCCCUUAGAUAUAAUGCUCAGGAAACAGGCAAAUGACAGGUGAGGCAAUCAUGCCAGAAUGGGGACAGGGUGGCCGGCGUGCCCAAGAAGCCCCUCCCCCCACCACACCCACUCGCUCACCCUCACCCUCCAGGCUGCAGGAUGCCCGCCUGCUUGCCGCGCUAGCAAGGGCUCGACCCUGCUCAACGAUGCUGCGCUCUUGAUUUCCUCUUUGGAAGUCAGACUUCGUUUCCAGAGCGGGGCAAGGAAUGCCUAAGGAACUAAGUCCGAAUCGCAUAGAAUAAGGCGAUAGAAGUUGCCGCGAAGAGGAACCCCAGAGCAUAGCUCCUCCGUGCCAGGGCUGGACCUAGAGCUGCCCAGGGCAGAGGAAGCUCCCGGCUGACCGCCUGAGUCCAUCCUCUCCAAGGAUCUCCUAUACCAGGAUCUCUCGGAGAGCUGCGGGUGCACCUGUUCUGGCAGCCUGGGGCUUGGACCUGCACUGCAUGCCUGCUUCUGUGACUCCCAUUUUCUCACAGGGUGCGCUGCAGUGCCCAGGAGCUGAUGAAACAGCAAGGAAGCGGGUUAUGAGAUCCCAGACAAGGAUCCUGGCCUCCCUUAGGUUCCGGGAGUAGAAGAGUGAGGGUGAGAGACAGACGAUGGAGACUGAAGGUAAGAACGCAUUCCGCACGAAUGGACAGCAUCAUGGGUGGCGCAGGUGGCGAUGGUUCUAGGGGCAGAGCAGUUGCAGGACACUGGAAGAGCGCAGAAGAUAAGGCUCACACCCAGUCCCUGGAGCAAGCAAUGGGAGAAGGGGGCCACAGAUGUCGCAGGGUCCCUGGAGGAGCAGCAGAAGCCUCUGAAUCCGCACUCCGGAGUUUCACCUGGGGGCGCAUGGUGGCGGAGCCUGGUCACUCUCCAAGAAGGGCUGAGAGGACCACCAGCCUCCAUCAGAGGCGACAGGGAGACAACCUUGGAGUCGACCAUGGCAUGCCCUUGGUGCAGGCAGGCCUUGGCGCGCUUGCCCCAGUUGAGAUCAGCAACGGAAGCAUGCGGCCCCUCGAGCACCGCCAGGUCAGCGGCAGGAACGCCACGGACUUGUACAGAGACCCUCGGCGGGGACACUAAGCAGAAACUCUCACAAGGUGCCGUCUCCAGGCUGCAGGAGGACCACGAGGUCUCAGAGAAAGGCACCAGGCACCCAGCGGCUUGCACGCGGGUACAGGGGCAAGUCCCUGGGGGAGCUUACCCUUGCCGGGGUGGGAGGCAUGAGUGGCAGCGCUAGAGGUGAUGGCGCAGGGCCCAGUCUCCCCCAGCUCCUCCCCACCCUCACUCCUGGGUCCCUGGGGCUCUCUGCAGGCCUGUGACCCUCCUCCUCCACUCAGAACCUCACCACGUUUGCAGUACACCUGCUGUGCUGGGCAAAAAGCCCCUGAUGAAGCCAGGUCAGCAAAAAGACAGUGCCUUCUGGCCAGGUUUGUUGGCUUUGGCUCAGCUAAAUGCAUGUGGAGAUUGCUUAUUAUUAGACUCACUCUAAGCUUUUAAAAGACUCCAGAUGCCAGAAAAUAACGUUUUUUGUGGAAAUACCCAGAAGCUUUGUAAUUCUAUCACAGGAAGAAACGGGGGGUUGCUGGAGGAGACUGAGGUGAGAAGGAAAUAGGGAUAAACAGAGGUUUGUCCUAAAGAAACAAUUAUAGCAGUUGAAAGCACUUGCAAGCGCUCCCGUUUUCCACCUGUGAUGGCUCUUGGGACUUCAUAAUAAUGAGGAGGUCCGUGUGCCCCCCGAUUUGCCCUACGACGGGCAGCAACCUCAGCAGGAUGGGCUUCACACAGCCUGCAUGGCCAAGGCCCUCAUCUGACUGCCCUGGGACCUGUUAUGCUGCAGCACCGUGCCUCCCCUGCAGGUGACUGGACGGGCCUCCUGGGUUGGAGACCCAAGGGUGAUUGCAGUGUUCUGGGCUAGGGAAGAAAUUCAGCACCUGGCUUCUCACCCUGAGCUCAGGCCUGGAGUUUUUAUUUAAUUUUACCAGCUCAAAGGAUGGUGUUCAUCACUUGGCAAUAAGUGAGUAUGUGUGGUCGAGAAAAAAAGCGUAGCUUUCCGUGCAUCAUUAGAGGCCAUUCCGGAGAGAAGAGUGGAGAGCCGGGGCUGGUGUAUUUAGUCAUCAGCAAGUCAAGACGAGGAUUUUUUGAGACCGGAGGGAGGCAAGGGAGGCCUUAAAGAGGAGACUGUUUGUCCUUUGCUUUUUCUGGCUCAGGUCUCCUCGCUACAGCACCAAACAUCAAAAUGAAACACAGUUGACCUUUGGUUGUUAGGCCCCUCUUGAGAGCUCUGUAUGAGAUUUAUCACGUCAAGGGCCCUGCGGAGAUUCUGCGCAAACUCCUGUUAUCCACCUCUGCCUGGCACUCGUCUGUGAAACAUUAAUCAUGUGAGCUCCAAGACCCCACAGUGGGCAGGAAAUUCAACGAGCAACAGCCCUUAACUUAUUUGGCACCUCCUGCCCUUUGCAAGGGUCUCUCCCCGUGAUUCACCAGAAGAUGGAAGCCUGAAUCCCACCGCCCUUCCCCUCUCAGGGGUGCAGGGAGUUUCAGAUCAGAGGUUUUUAUAGAUAAUAUGGAAAAGUAGCAGGAAAAAAAGGGCAGAAUAGAGAAACAGUGAUAAAUGAAGAGGAAUUAACUUAGAAAACAAAGAACGAUUAACCUGUUAGAAGUGUGGACAUUCCAUUUUCAAAAUAAGGCCUUUUGCUUCCAAAGACUGAUUAGGAAUGGGUAGCCUUUUAACAAAUCAAGAUUGCAACCCUCCUCCAUCCAAAUAUUUUACAUUUCAAUAUUUUACAUCUCCAACAUUUGUAUGCUAGCUCAUCUCAU
This 5026-nucleotide long non-coding RNA is filed under the name Sus scrofa (pig). RNAcentral's name for it is "lncRNA (ENSSSCG00000063099.1)". The record is from RNAcentral. Lineage: Eukaryota; Metazoa; Chordata; Mammalia; Artiodactyla; Suidae.